RNAcentral lists this ribosomal RNA (359 nucleotides) under uncultured Gammaproteobacteria bacterium. Its description in RNAcentral is "bacterial SSU rRNA". It matches the Rfam family "Bacterial small subunit ribosomal RNA", at positions 538 to 896 of the family's 1533-position model. Lineage: Bacteria; Pseudomonadati; Pseudomonadota; Gammaproteobacteria. The record is from RNAcentral.
GCGUUAAUCGGAAUUACUGGGCGUAAAGCGUACGCAGGCGGUUUGUUAAGCGAGAUGUGAAAGCCCCGGGCUCAACCUGGGAACUGCAUUUCGAACUGACAAACUAGAGUUUUGUAGAGGGUGGUAGAAUUUCAGGUGUAGCGGUGAAAUGCGUAGAGAUCUGAAGGAAUACCAGUGGCGAAGGCGGCCACCUGGACAAUAACUGACGCUCAUGUACGAAAGCGUGGGGAGCAAACGGGAUUAGAUACCCCGGUAGUCCACGCCGUAAACGAUGUCAACUAGCCCACUGGUGCCUUGAGCACUGGGUGGCGCAGCUAACGCAUUAAGUUGACCGCCUGGGGAGUACGGCCGCAAGGUUA